ACGCACGCUGGCGGCGUGCUUCACCCAUGCAAUUCGAACGGAAAGGCCCUGCUUUUGUGGGGUGCUCGCGUGGCGAACGGGUGAGUAACACGUGAGUAACCUGCCCUUGACUUUGGGAUAACUUCAGGAAACUGGGGCUAAUACCGGAUAGGAGCUCCUGCUGCAUGGUGGGGGUUGGAAAGUUUCGGCGGUUGGGGAUGGACUCGCGGCUUAUCAGCUUGUUGGUGGGGUAGUGGCUUACCAAGGCUUUGACGGGUAGCCGGCCUGAGAGGGCGACCGGCCACAUUGGGACUGAGAUACGGCCCAGACUCCUACGGGAGGCAGCAGUGGGGAAUAUUGCACAAUGGGCGGAAGCCUGAUGCAGCAACGCCGCGUGCGGGAUGACGGCCUUCGGGUUGUAAACCGCUUUCGCCUGUGACGAAGCGUGAGUGACGGUAAUGGGUAAAGAAGCACCGGCUAACUACGUG
RNAcentral lists this ribosomal RNA (467 nucleotides) under uncultured bacterium. RNAcentral describes it as "partial 16S ribosomal RNA". It matches the Rfam family "Bacterial small subunit ribosomal RNA", at positions 29 to 507 of the family's 1533-position model. The record is from RNAcentral.